UCCAGACUCCUACGGGAGGCAGCAGUGAGGAAUAUUGGUCAAUGGCCGAAGGGCUGAACCAGCCAAGCCGCGUGAAGGAAUAAGGCCCUACGGGUCGUAAACUUCUUUAGUCAGGGAACAAAGGGAGCCACGCGUGGCGCUGUGAGUGUACCUGAAGAAUAAGCAUCGGCUAACUCCGUGCCAGCAGCCGCGGUAAUACGGAGGAUGCGAGCGUUAUCCGGAUUUAUUGGGUUUAAAGGGUGCGCAGGCGGCGUGUCAAGCAAGCGGUAAAAUAGCGGGGCUCAACCCCGUCGAGCCGUUUGAACUGGCGCGCUUGAGUUCAGGCGAGGUAGGCGGAAUUCGUGGUGUAGCGGUGAAAUGCAUAGAUAUCACGAAGAACUCCGAUUGCGAAGGCAGCUUACCAGUCUGCGACUGACGCUCAGGCACGAAAGUGUGGGUAUCGAACAGGAUUAGAUACCCUCGUAC
Molecule: ribosomal RNA, 465 nt
Filed under: uncultured bacterium
Lineage: Bacteria
Description: bacterial SSU rRNA
Rfam family: Bacterial small subunit ribosomal RNA
Source: RNAcentral